RNAcentral lists this ribosomal RNA (730 nucleotides) under Peribacillus simplex. RNAcentral's name for it is "bacterial SSU rRNA". It matches the Rfam family "Bacterial small subunit ribosomal RNA", at positions 125 to 839 of the family's 1533-position model. The record is from RNAcentral. Lineage: Bacteria; Bacillati; Bacillota; Bacilli; Caryophanales; Bacillaceae.
CCUGCCUAUAAGACUGGGAUAACUUCGGGAAACCGGAGCUAAUACCGGAUACGUUCUUUUCUCGCAUGAGAGAAGAUGGAAAGACGGUUUACGCUGUCACUUAUAGAUGGGCCCGCGGCGCAUUAGCUAGUUGGUGAGGUAAUGGCUCACCAAGGCGACGAUGCGUAGCCGACCUGAGAGGGUGAUCGGCCACACUGGGACUGAGACACGGCCCAGACUCCUACGGGAGGCAGCAGUAGGGAAUCUUCCGCAAUGGACGAAAGUCUGACGGAGCAACGCCGCGUGAACGAAGAAGGCCUUCGGGUCGUAAAGUUCUGUUGUUAGGGAAGAACAAGUACCAGAGUAACUGCUGGUACCUUGACGGUACCUAACCAGAAAGCCACGGCUAACUACGUGCCAGCAGCCGCGGUAAUACGUAGGUGGCAAGCGUUGUCCGGAAUUAUUGGGCGUAAAGCGCGCGCAGGUGGUUCCUUAAGUCUGAUGUGAAAGCCCACGGCUCAACCGUGGAGGGUCAUUGGAAACUGGGGAACUUGAGUGCAGAAGAGGAAAGUGGAAUUCCAAGUGUAGCGGUGAAAUGCGUAGAGAUUUGGGAGGGAACACCAGUGGCGAAUGCGACUUUUCUGGUCUGUAACUGACACUGAGGCGCGAAAGCGUGGAGAAGCAACAGGAUUAGAUACGCUGGUAGUCCACGCCGUAAACGAUGAGUGCUAAGUGUUAGGAGGGUUUCCGC